CGGGGGGGCAAGCGUUGUUCGGAAUUACUGGGCGUAAAGGGCGCGUAGGCGGCCUGCUAAGUCAACACCGUGAAAUCCCUCGGCUCAACCGGGGAACUGCGUGUGAUACUGGCGGCUUGAAUUCGGGAGAGGGAUGUGGAAUUCCAGGUGUAGCGGUGAAAUGCGUAGAUAUCUGGAGGAACACCGGUGGCGAAGGCGGCAGUCCUGGACCGAGAUUGACGCUGAGGCGCGAAAGCUAGGGGAGCAAACGGGAUUAGAUACCCGGUAGUCCUAGCCCUAAACGAUGAGUGCUUGGUGUGGCGGGUAUCGAUCCCUGCCGUGCCGAAGCUAACGCAUUAAGCACUCCGCCUGGGGAGUACGGUCGCAAGGCUG
This 372-nucleotide ribosomal RNA is filed under the name uncultured organism. RNAcentral describes it as "bacterial SSU rRNA". It matches the Rfam family "Bacterial small subunit ribosomal RNA", at positions 527 to 896 of the family's 1533-position model. The record is from RNAcentral.